AUGGUCGAGCUCGAGCCAAAGGUCAAGGGAAUACUUGUGAGUAGUGUAUUCAUAAGAAGCUGUGGCGCGAGGUCUGAAGCAGCUAGCAGAGUCCUCGUUUUACUUUCGCGCCUCUCUUUAUAUCUCCCUUCCUCCUGCACAUCGCUCCACCUCCACGCACACUACUAUCUUUGGCUUUGGCUCCAGCUCCACCUCCUUCCUCCUGCUGAGUGCUAUUUUUCUCCGCGCACAGCCCACAUCAACCCGCUACGCCUUGGGUCACCUCGGCGCCUUGGAGGCAGGGGGAGUUCACAGAGCCCCAGGAUGGACUCCGCCAUUGGCGCGGCCAAGUGGGUGCUGGGCAAGGCGCUGGCCCCCGUCACGGAUGGCUUGCUGGAGUCUUGGGCGGCUAGUGCCCAGCUUGACCGCAACAUCAACGCCCUCAAGAUGGAGCUGCUGUAUGCGCACGGGAUGCUCGAGAACGCGCAGGGCAGGGGAAUCCAUGGCGUCGCGCUCAAGGAGCUCCUGCGCCAGCUGGAGCAGCUGGCGUACGGGGCUGAUGAUGUGCUGGAUGAGCUGGAGUACUUCCGCAUCCAGGACGCCCUUAAAGGGACCUUCCAUGCCGCCAACGUCAACGCCGUAGGUUCCGUCCAAGGCCUCCGCAUCAAUGUUGAGCACACGGCGAGACAUGUCGCCAGCAAACUCAAGUGCCUCCCGUGCUUCGGUGCUGUUAGCCGUGGUGGUGACCAAGAAAAUGAUGGCUCUCGCCUACACCUGUGUGUCAGGCGGGGCAUCAGCUCCUCGCCACCGACGCCCGCCAGCAAGGGGGUUGUCAAGAAGGUUGAUGGCAGAUGCAUGCCCAAGGUCAUCUCAAGUGCUCGCAACACUGCCCACACUUUCGGUAAACACUUUCCUUGCUACUCUCCCAUAUCUGUCCACGGUGAUGAUGCUCUAGAAACACCAGAAGUGAUGUUUGAUAGGGUACAAAUGUCUACAACAAUGAUGGACAUGGUAGUGCAGCUGAAGGAAGUAUGUGCUAAGGUCUCCAUAAUUCUUAAUCUAGAUUUGUUCGGCUCCAGCCGCAGCCAUACCCAAGAAAUUGCUAUAAACAGAUCCAAAACCACAUCAGAGAUUACAGAACCUAAGUUAUAUGGGAGGGAUGACCAGAAAAAGAAAAUUAUAGAGGGCAUUGUUAGUGGCGACUACUGUCCCGAUCAACUUAACGUUCUUCCAUUUUUUGGACCGGGGGGUAUUGGAAAAACAACUUUUACACAACACAUAUGCCAAGAAGUGAAUAGCCAUUUCCAAGCUUCAAUUUGGAUAUGUGUCUCUCUUGACUUCAGUGCAGAUAGAUUGGCACAAGAGAUAGUCAACAAAAUCGGUGGUGAGGAGGGGAAGACUAGUGCUGAAGAACUUAUCCCACAAAGAUUAAAAGCUAAGAGAUUCUUACUUGUGUUGGAUGAUGUGUGGACAUAUCGAGAGGAUGAGUGGGAUAAACUAAUAGCAAUUUUAAGGAAGGUAGAGUCCAAGGGUAAUUUGAUUAUAGUCACAACUCGAAUACCAAAGGUAGCACAGAUGGUUAGGACAACCAAUUGUGAACUAAAAUUGGAAAGACUAGAUGAUGCAAGUACCAUGCGUUUCUUCAAAGCAUGUGUAUUUGGUAACAAGCAACAACCAUGGAAAGAACAUCCUGAAUUAUCUGAAACUGGUCACGAAGUAGUGCGCCAUUUGAAAGGUUCCCCCCUUGCAACUAAAACCGUGGGUAGAUUACUUAGAAACCAACUUACUUUGGAGCAUUGGAGAAAAGUUCUACAAAGCAAAGAAUGGGAACUACAAACCGGUGAGAAUGACAUCAUGCCAGCCCUCAAACUUAGCUAUGAUUAUCUUCCUUUCCAUCUAAAACAAUUGUUUGUAUAUUGUGCUUUGUUUCCUGAAGAUUAUGAAUUUGAUAGCAAGGAGUUAGUUCAACUGUGGAUAGGACUAGGUAUUUUGUAUCCUUGUGAUCAGAAUAGAAGGAUUGAAGAUGUUGGACUAGACCAUCUGCGUGAGUUGGUCAAUUAUGGAUUUUUCAAGAAAGACAAAAAAAAAAAAGAUGGUCGUUAUUUUUAUGUUAUCCAUGAUCUAUUUCAUGAAUUGGCCACCAAGGUUUCGUCAUAUGAAUGUGUUAGUAUAUGUAGUUCUAAUGUCAGGUCCGUACACAUCUCCCCAUCUGUACGUCAUUUAUCCAUAAUUGUAAAUUUUAAAGAUGUCAAUGAUAGGAUGACUUUAGACGAGUAUAAGAAGGAUUUGAAAGCAUUAAGUAAAAGAUUAAAAGUUGAAAACCUACGUACUCUGAUGCUGUUUGGACGAUACCAUGGAAGCUUCGCCAAGACCUUUGGUGAUCUGUUUAGAAAAGCUAAAUCCCUUCGCACUAUUUUUCUGUCUGGAGCAUCAUACCCUACGGAGAAUAUUCUACAUAACUUUUCAGAAACUAUCCAUCUUCGUUACCUAAGGAUCGAGCCAAGAGAUUGGAGAUGCAACAUCGAAUUACCAAGUACGUUGUUCAGAUUUUAUCAUUUAGAGAUAAUAAAUAUAGAAAAAUGGAAUGGUCCUGUUUCAAUAAGACAAAUCACUAGCCUUGUAAAGUUGCGCCAUUUUCUUGUGCCAGAAAAUAUGCCUCAAGUUCAUUCUGACAUAUCUGAGGUGGGAAAACUUAAAUUGCUCUCACAAUUAAGAAGAUUUGAAGUUGGAAAAGAAAUUAAUGGUUUCGAACUAAGUCAGCUAGAGCAAUUAACAGAGCUUGGAGGGUCACUUAGCAUUUAUAACCUUGAAAAGGUGAAAGAAAAAGGGGCACAGGGAAAGGAAAUAAGACCAAUACACAGAAACUACUUAAGUGAACUAACAUUAGAAUGGGGUGUGAACCGAUCUAACAAGUUUCCCACAAGAGAAGAAAAUGUUCUUGAGAACCUUAUACCACAUAGUGAGCUUCGAGAUCUGUGCAUUAGAGGGCACGGAGGCACUAGUUGCCCAACAUGGCUAGGUGAGAACAUCUUUGUCAAAAAUUUGGAAUCCCUCCACUUGGAUGAUGUGUCUUGGAAAACUUUUCCACCAUUAGGAGAGUUCUGGUCGGUUGAUAAGCCCCGUGAUGAGUGCAAAAGUUGCAGCAUCUCAAGCCCAAGCUUUCAAAACAAUAUUCAUGAAAAAAAAGGCUUUAAUAACUUGAAAAGGCUAGUGUUUGUUAAUAUACCAAAACUGACAAAGUGGGCUGGAAAUCAAACUUGUGGGCUCUUCUCCCGCCUGGAAGUACUCAUUAUUGAAGACUGCCCUGAACUUAUAGAGUUGCCGUUUUCAUGUUCUGCUUGCUCUCAACCAGAGCAAGAAGGUGGGAACAUGACUUGCUUCCCUAAACUACGGGAGCUCAAGAUUGUAAGAUGCCCAAACCUGAGGACAAUGCCUCCUAUCCCUUGGACCCAUGAUCCAUGCUCCAUUGAGAUAGCACAAACAGGCACAAAAUUUGUGAACCUCACUUACGCGGAAAGAAAAUAUGGAAAACCAGGAUUAUGUUUGGAAAUUUGGGCUGCGGAUGGUACAGAUAGCUUGUUUUGGAGUGAGUUUGAUUUCUUUAAUUUGAGUCAUCUAAAAGAGUUGACUAUAACCAAUUGCCCUCCUUUGCCGUUGGAUAAAAUCCAAAUGCUAACAUCUCUGCAGCACCUCAAUAUAAGGGGUUGUUCAAGUAUUGUCAUGUCGCCAAUCAGAGGCGAGAGCCAUGUCCUGUACCAGGUUCCAGUUGAAGAACUCAGCAUUUCUCAAAGUGGUGCUAGCGGGAAAGAACUGACUCAACUGCUCUGUCAUUUCCCGAAGCUCACCGGCCUGCAUAUAGUUUUUUGCGAAAAGAUAACAGAACUUGGUGUGUCGGAGCAGCAGAGUGGAGCACAGCAGCAACAGACCGCAGAAGGAGGACUGCUGCUCUUGCCUACCCAACUACAGAAGUUGAUCCUCCAACAUUGCCGUCAGCUGAGAAUACUCCCCAAUUCAGGGGGCGACAACAACGAGGCAGCAGGAGGUCUCCAGCGUCUACACUCCCUCCGUGAAGUGAGCUCAGAGAAUUGCCCCAAUUUGCUUUCCUCCUAUUCAGGCUCCUCCUCUUGUUUCCCUUUCCCGGCAUUCCUUCAAAAACUCAAACUGUCCAACCUGGAAGAACUCCAUCUGGCCCUCACAAACCUGGCCAACCUGGAUGAACUCCAUCUUAGCGACAUGAAGGACCUCACAAACCUAAGCAUCCGGAGUUCCCCAAAACUACAUACCCUGAACAUACAAAACUCCUCCGGAGUUCUUUCGGUGUCCAUCUGCAACCUCCUCUCUACAUCCCUCACCACAUUGGUCAUUGAGGGCAGCAGAGAGGUGGAGCCCAUCCCAGGAGAGGCCCUCCUGCUUCUCACCUCCCUCCAAGUUCUCGAAUUUCUUUCCUGCGACAAAUUGCAAUCCCUCCCUGCAGGUCUACAUACACUCUCCUACAUUAACUACUUAUGUAUCUAUGGAUGCCCAUCCCUCCAGUCGCUGCCCAAGGAAGGCCUCCCGAGAUCUUUGCAAAGAUUAAGAAUCCUCGGAUGUUCCAUGAAAUCACUGCCCAAGGACAGCCUCCCGAGUACUCUGAAGCAAUUACUGAUCUCCAGCUGUUCUGAGCUCGAAUUACUUCCCACUUUUUCCGAUGGCGCUUCUCUGCAGAAAUUAGAGAUCUGGAAUUGUCCUGCCAUCAAAUCGGUGCCCAAGGAUGCCCUCCCGAGUUCUCUGCAGGAAUUAGUGAUCAGGAUGUGUCCUGGCAUCAAAUCCUUUCCCGAGGACAGGCUCCAAAAAUUCCUGCGAGUACUAGAUGUUAGUGAUGACAAUAGUGAGGAGCUUAAAAGGCAGUGCCGCAGGUUAACAGGGACAAUUCCAAUAAUCAGAGCCUGA
This 4908-nucleotide ribosomal RNA is filed under the name Triticum aestivum (bread wheat). RNAcentral describes it as "partial small subunit ribosomal RNA". The record is from RNAcentral. Lineage: Eukaryota; Viridiplantae; Streptophyta; Magnoliopsida; Poales; Poaceae.